GCCCCCAUCGUCUAUCGGCUAGGACAUCACCCUUUCAAGGUGAAGAGCGGGGUUCGAUUCCCCGUGGGGGCA
RNAcentral lists this transfer RNA (72 nucleotides) under Elusimicrobiota bacterium. Its description in RNAcentral is "Elusimicrobia bacterium (groundwater metagenome) tRNA-Glu". It matches the Rfam family "tRNA". From Rfam's summary of the family: Transfer RNA (tRNA) molecules are approximately 80 nucleotides in length. The record is from RNAcentral. Lineage: Bacteria; Pseudomonadati; Elusimicrobiota.